This is a long non-coding RNA of Carya illinoinensis, 1091 nucleotides long. RefSeq lists it as uncharacterized. The transcript has 2 exons. The record is from RefSeq and is a predicted model, not a curated record. NCBI's taxonomy places the organism in Eukaryota, Viridiplantae, Streptophyta, Magnoliopsida, Fagales, Juglandaceae.
UAAAAUUUAUAUAAAAAUAAAUUAUCUUUUAAUAAUAAAUUAUAUUUUUUAAAAUAGCCGUUCAACACUUAUAUGCUCCACGUUUAUACGUUUGUUCUUUUGAAUAUAAUACCGGAGGCAACUGCUAUUAUGACUGGACAGUCGCACCCUCCCCAAGCCAACAUGGCCAGAAAAAGUUUAACAAAAUUAAAAUUAAAUUAAAUUAAAAAAAAAAAAAAAGGUGACAAAUCGGUGUGCUAAAAUAUGCGAGUAAAAGGUGCAAACUCCAAAGAUUCAGAAGUGAAAUAAGAAGUCUUAGAAGGUUCCAGGAAUGAAGGAUGAAGCUCAUGUGACUAGACCCACAAGACAAGGAAGCACCAAAGAACUCGAGUCUUGUCCCUCCUGCAUAUUCUCACUCACUCUACUACACUUGUGCGUGGAACGUCUCUUCCUGCAUGCUUCUUCCUUCUUAAUUCUUAUGGUCCUCCUUUGGCUGGUCCCAGAUCAUCAGCAAGAGUGCCGAGGCAAGCUGGAGCGACUACUGCGAUUUUUCUCUUGUGGGUAGUCUUAAUUUUCACGCAGAUAAGUUGGCAUUUUGCUGCUCAUGACGUCAGCGAGCGGUUCUUUAGGUCUCCGGUGCCCCGGAAAGAACAUUUUUCCGAGACACCGUUGUUUCAUGCACCUUCAAGCACUCCGGUUCAGGUUUCGGCCACGAAUGGGGAGCCGGACACGCUAUAUGAAGACGACAAGAGAAUAAUUCAUACGGGUCCAAAUCCUCUUCACAACUAGGUGAGAAUCUGAGGGUAGUUUUCUUCUGCAAUAUUGUGUAUGGUUGAGUCUUUAAUGCUAGACACUCAAGUCUUUGGUCUGUUAUAAGCUAAAGCUUUUGUUCGCUUUUUCACCUUGUAUUAGAAUGAGAGUAUAACUCUAGCCUUUUCAGUCAAGAUCAUGAAUGGCGUCAGGGACAGUUUGGCAAUGCUGAGACCGAGAAAAAAAAAAGAGGAAGAUAGUAUGGAGGCUAGUGAUAAUUCUCUCGUUUCUUUUGCAGUCUUCUUCUUAAUUCUGUAGGUUCUGUUAAAAUUAAUCUUAUUGAAUUUAAUGUGUGUAGUUAA